UUUUGUAGACGAGAGAAUAGUUUGCUGAGACAAUCAGAUAGUUUGGUCAACUCUUUCAUAUGAUUAAGUAUUCCCUCUGAUCCUUUUCUUUUUCCCUCUCUUUUGUUGGUUGUUUUGUUAUAUGUUCUGCAGGUGUAUUUUGGCUGGACUAUUUAUUAAAUCAGGCUUUACCCAGGUUGAAAUGGUUGAUACAACAAUCUUUAAUGGUGUGGCAAGCAUGUUUAGCUGCAGGUGUGAAACUGAUCCUGAAAGUAAACAUCUUUCAGAGCUAAAGGUCAUUACUGGUCAUUCCUUUUAUAAUCAAAUUCAGCUUUGACAUUGUUGUGCCGGCUGUUAAUUUACCUGUAUUUCUUUAUAUUUCAAUAGAUUUCUC
Molecule: long non-coding RNA, 373 nt
Filed under: Ricinus communis (castor bean)
Lineage: Eukaryota; Viridiplantae; Streptophyta; Magnoliopsida; Malpighiales; Euphorbiaceae
Description: long non-coding RNA (RCOM_LNC002165)
Source: RNAcentral